GAAAAAACAAUGCUGGUUUGACCAUACUAUAAUUAAGGUUACAAACUCAAAACUCUUGAAACCCUAAAAAGAACACAAGAAGAUCAGAGGCGACCUUGCUGCUGACCUGACCGUUCCAUCGAAGGGGAGUGCAGAGGACUUGAGGAAAGCAUGUGUUGGUCCAGAAUCCAGAUCCUGUUUGUCUCUGUUCUGGAGGCCAGAAGUCCAAAAUCAGUUUCACUGGGCUAAAGUCCAGUUAUCAGCAGAACUGGUCCCUUCUGGAGGUGCUGAGGAACAUCAAGAUCUGACCUACAUGGAUUGCUGCAAGAACAAAGGAUUCCAAGAAAUUUGCAACAACCAACCACACCCUCUCCCCUUUUAGUCUGAAUUCUAGCUGGGGUAAGGUGGUUCUUUGGGACACUAGUCCACCAUCUUCUUGGUCUACCGGCUUUCUGAAUAAAGUUGCUAUUCCUUGCCCCAACACCUCGUCUGUUGAUUUACUGGCCCUGUCCUGCAGUGAGCAGUAUGAACUUGGACUUGGUAACAAGGACACCUGGGAAAGCAGUCAAGCAAGGACUUUUGUAAUAUUCUAAUGGAAAAAAAUGGAGAAAUAUGGGCUGUAUAACAGCUCUUUUAGGAGUAUUCCAAACAAAAUGAAUGCUUAUUCUCCGAAAGUCCUAAUUAAUAAAAGGAUUGAUAUUGACCUAAAAGGAGGUUUUCAGACCAUGUUGUGUAGCUCUGAUUUGAGCUCUGUACUGCUUAAUAGUUAAUCAUGACUUGAAGAUACAAAAAGUAAUUAAAUUUGAAGAUGACACAAAACUGGAGGACAAAGUUAAAAAU
Orcinus orca (killer whale) is the source of this 819-nucleotide long non-coding RNA. RefSeq lists it as uncharacterized. NCBI's taxonomy places the organism in Eukaryota, Metazoa, Chordata, Mammalia, Artiodactyla, Delphinidae. The transcript has 3 exons. The record is from RefSeq and is a predicted model, not a curated record.